GCGGAUGUGGUGGAAUUGGUAGACACGCUAGCCUUAGGAGCUAGUGCCGCAAGGCGUGGAGGUUCAAGUCCUCUCAUCCGUACCA
Molecule: transfer RNA, 85 nt
Filed under: Candidatus Saccharimonadota bacterium
Lineage: Bacteria; Candidatus Saccharimonadota
Also listed under: 1 other name
Description: tRNA-Leu
Rfam family: tRNA
About the family: Transfer RNA (tRNA) molecules are approximately 80 nucleotides in length. Their secondary structure includes four short double-helical elements and three loops (D, anti-codon, and T loops). Further hydrogen bonds mediate the characteristic L-shaped molecular structure. tRNAs have two regions of fundamental functional importance: the anti-codon, which is responsible for specific mRNA codon recognition, and the 3' end, to which the tRNAs corresponding amino acid is attached (by aminoacyl-tRNA synthetases). tRNAs cope with the degeneracy of the genetic code in two manners: having more than one tRNA (with a specific anti-codon) for a particular amino acid; and 'wobble' base-pairing, i.e. permitting non-standard base-pairing at the 3rd anti-codon position.
Source: RNAcentral